This 496-nucleotide ribosomal RNA is filed under the name uncultured bacterium. RNAcentral describes it as "partial 16S ribosomal RNA". It matches the Rfam family "Bacterial small subunit ribosomal RNA", at positions 28 to 506 of the family's 1533-position model. The record is from RNAcentral.
GAUGAACGCUGGCGGCGUGCCUAAUACAUGCAAGUCGAGCGAACGGACGAGAAGCUUGCUUCUCUGAUGUUAGCGGCGGACGGGUGAGUAACACGUGGAUAACCUACCUAUAAGACUGGGAUAACUUCGGGAAACCGGAGCUAAUACCGGAUGAUAUUUUGAACCGCAUGGUUCAAAAGUGAAAGACGGUCUUGCUGUCACUUAUAGAUGGAUCCGCGCUGCAUUAGCUAGUUGGUAAGGUAACGGCCUACCAAGGCAACGAUGCAUAGCCGACCUGAUAGGACAAUCGUCAAAAUUGGACCGGGGAUACGUUCGAGACUCCUACGGGAGACAGGAGGCGGGAAUCUUCCGCAGUGGGCAAAAGCCUGACCGAGCAACGCCGCGUGAGUGAUGAAGGCCUUCGGCUCGUAAAACUCUGUUAUUAGGGAAGAACAUAUGUGUAAGUAACUGUGCACAUCUAGACGGUCCCUAAUCAGAAAGCCACGGCUAACUACGU